Molecule: ribosomal RNA, 252 nt
Filed under: uncultured bacterium
Lineage: Bacteria
Description: partial 16S ribosomal RNA
Rfam family: Bacterial small subunit ribosomal RNA
Source: RNAcentral
UACGUAGGUGGCAAGCGUUGUCCGGAUUAUUGGGUUUAAAGGGUGCGUAGGCGGUCUUUUAAGUCAGUGCUGAAAUACUCCAGCUUAACUGGAGGGGUGGCAUUGAUACUGGAAGACUUGAGUGCAGUCGAGGUAGGCGGAAUUGACGGUGUAGCGGUGAAAUGCUUAGAUAUCGUCAAGAACACCGAUAGUGAAGACAGCUUACUAGGCUGCAACUGACGCUGAGGCACGAAAGUGUGGGGAUCAAACAGG